RNAcentral lists this ribosomal RNA (417 nucleotides) under Triticum aestivum (bread wheat). Its description in RNAcentral is "partial small subunit ribosomal RNA". Lineage: Eukaryota; Viridiplantae; Streptophyta; Magnoliopsida; Poales; Poaceae. The record is from RNAcentral.
AUGUGCUGGUUCACAUGGCAAUUGCUCCAUUCUUCAUAUAGGUCGUUUGGGUUUCAAACUACAGUGAAGAUAACUCAGCAAGCGAUCAACGUGGCACCUGUCGAGGCUGUGAGCGCUGUGAAUGGCGUCGGUCUUGUCAAACUUAUGGCCGGCAGGAGCAUGGGCCACAUUACUCUUCAUGCCACCCUAAGCAGUCGAGAUGUUGGCUGCUAUUUGAACCCUGACAUUGAUUUCCAUAUUGGAGGGGAGGGAGGCCUGUUUGAGUUCCUGUAUGAAAGGAUAAAGAAGAAGGGGCAUGUUGUCAUCGUUGUUGUUGAAGGCGGUGAUCAGAAGUUGAUUCCCCGGACUGAUGACCAGAAGCGAGAGCAGGAUGAGUCUGAUAACAUGUCUUUUCUUGCCGUUGGCCUUCUUCUAUAA